Molecule: transfer RNA, 85 nt
Filed under: Bacteroidota bacterium
Lineage: Bacteria; Pseudomonadati; Bacteroidota
Description: tRNA-Leu
Rfam family: tRNA
About the family: Transfer RNA (tRNA) molecules are approximately 80 nucleotides in length. Their secondary structure includes four short double-helical elements and three loops (D, anti-codon, and T loops).
Source: RNAcentral
GCCCGGGUGGCGGAAUUGGUAGACGCGCUAGACUCAAAAUCUGGUUAUGGCAACAUAGUGGGGGUUCGAUUCCCUUCCCGGGUAC